UAGGGAAUCUUCGGCAAUGGGGGCAACCCUGACCGAGCAACGCCGCGUGAGUGAAGAAGGUUUUCGGAUCGUAAAGCUCUGUUGUAAGAGAAGAACGUGUGUGAGAGUGGAAAGUUCACACAGUGACGGUAACUUACCAGAAAGGGACGGCUAACUACGUGCCAGCAGCCGCGGUAAUACGUAGGUCCCGAGCGUUGUCCGGAUUUAUUGGGCGUAAAGCGAGCGCAGGCGGUUUAAUAAGUCUGAAGUUAAAGGCAGUGGCUUAACCAUUGUUCGCUUUGGAAACUGUUGAACUUGAGUGCAGAAGGGGAGAGUGGAAUUCCAUGUGUAGCGGUGAAAUGCGUAGAUAUAUGGGGGAACACCGGUGGCGAAAGCGGCUCUCUGGUCUGUAACUGACGCUGAGGCUCGAAAGCGUGGGGAGCAAACAGG
RNAcentral lists this ribosomal RNA (429 nucleotides) under bacterium. Its description in RNAcentral is "partial 16S ribosomal RNA". It matches the Rfam family "Bacterial small subunit ribosomal RNA", at positions 355 to 776 of the family's 1533-position model. The record is from RNAcentral.